CACAAAAUAAGCUAAGGUAAAGCUGUUGGGUUCAUACCCCAAAAAUGAGGUUGCUCUUUUGUGG
This 64-nucleotide transfer RNA is filed under the name Zygeupolia rubens. RNAcentral's name for it is "tRNA-Met". Lineage: Eukaryota; Metazoa; Nemertea; Pilidiophora; Heteronemertea; Lineidae. The record is from RNAcentral.